AUUGAACGCUGGCGGCAGGCCUAACACAUGCAAGUCGAGCGGAUGAAGGGAGCUUGCUCCUGGAUUCAGCGGCGGACGGGUGAGUAAUGCCUAGGAAUCUGCCUGGUAGUGGGGGAUAACGUCCGGAAACGGGCGCUAAUACCGCAUACGUCCUGAGGGAGAAAGUGGGGGAUCUUCGGACCUCACGCUAUCAGAUGAGCCUAGGUCGGAUUAGCUAGUUGGUGGGGUAAAGGCCUGCCAAGGCGACGAUCCGUAACUGGUCUGAGAGGAUGAUCAGUCGCACUGGAACUGAGACACGGUCCAGACUCCUACGGGAGGCAGCAGUGGGGAAUAUUGGACAAUGGGCGAAAGCCUGAUCCAGCCAUGCCGCGUGUGUGAAGAAGGUCUUCGGAUUGUAAAGCACUUUAAGUUGGGAGGAAGGGCAGUAAGUUAAUACCUUGCUGUUUUGACGUUACCAACAGAAUAAGCACCGGCUAACUUCGUG
Molecule: ribosomal RNA, 484 nt
Filed under: uncultured bacterium
Lineage: Bacteria
Description: partial 16S ribosomal RNA
Rfam family: Bacterial small subunit ribosomal RNA
Source: RNAcentral